RNAcentral lists this long non-coding RNA (202 nucleotides) under Elaeis guineensis (African oil palm). RNAcentral's name for it is "long non-coding RNA (EGUI_LNC006048)". The record is from RNAcentral. Lineage: Eukaryota; Viridiplantae; Streptophyta; Magnoliopsida; Arecales; Arecaceae.
CCCAUCCUUCUCAAUACAUCACCCAAAUUCCCAACAACCAUCAUUGAAAUUAUGGGUUAUGGGGGUUUUUUUGUCGAUUAAUUUCUGACAAGCCACUGUCAAACCAUCACCGUAUUUAAGGUAUUGAUCUUUUCUUUUUCUUUUUCUCCUCUUUUUCGAACCCCACAAGACUUUUGAUGGCCGAAUUGUGCUGCCAACCACC